RNAcentral lists this ribosomal RNA (253 nucleotides) under uncultured bacterium. RNAcentral describes it as "partial 16S ribosomal RNA". It matches the Rfam family "Bacterial small subunit ribosomal RNA", at positions 524 to 776 of the family's 1533-position model. The record is from RNAcentral.
GACAGAGGGUGCAGACGUUGUUCGGAAUUACUGGGCGUAAAGCGCGUGUAGGCGGCUAUGCAAGUCGGGCGUGAAAUCCCUCGGCUCAACCGAGGAAGUGCACUCGAAACUGCGUAGCUAGAGUCUCGGAGAGGAAGGUGGAAUACUUGGUGUAGAGGUGAAAUUCGUAGAUAUCAAGUGGAACACCGGUGGCGAAGGCGGCCUUCUGGACGAUGACUGACGCUGAGACGCGAAAGCGUGGGGAGCAAACAGG